RNAcentral lists this ribosomal RNA (301 nucleotides) under uncultured bacterium. RNAcentral describes it as "partial 16S ribosomal RNA". It matches the Rfam family "Bacterial small subunit ribosomal RNA", at positions 509 to 808 of the family's 1533-position model. The record is from RNAcentral.
CAGUCGCCGCGGGAAUACAGAGGGUGCAAGCGUUAAUCGGAAUUACUGGGCGUAAAGCGCGCGUAGGUGGUUUGUUAAGUUGGAUGUGAAAGCCCCGGGCUCAACCUGGGAACUGCAUCCAAAACUGGCAAGCUAGAGUACGGUAGAGGGUGGUGGAAUUUCCUGUGUAGCGGUGAAAUGCGUAGAUAUAGGAAGGAACACCAGUGGCGAAGGCGACCACCUGGACUGAUACUGACACUGAGGUGCGAAAGCGUGGGGAGCAAACAGGAUUAGAUACCCGGUAGUCCCUGUCUCUUAUACC